GGGUGACAGGUGGUGCAUGGUUGUCGUCAGCUCGUGUCGUGAGAUGUUCGGGUUAAGUCCCGCAACGAGCGCAACCCUCGACCUUAGUUGCCAGCAUUCAGUUGGGCACUCUAAGGUGACUGCCGGCUAAAAGUCGGAGGAAGGUGGGAUGACGUCAAAUCAUCAUGCCCCUUAUGACCUGGGCUACACACGUGCUACGAUGGGCGGUACAAAGGGUCGCGAACCCGCGAGGGGGAGCCAAUCCCAAAAAGCCGCUCUCAGUUCGGAUUGCAGGCUGCAACUCGCCUGCAUGAAGCCGGAAUCGCUAGUAAUCGCGGAUCAGCAUGCCGCGGUGAAUACGUUCCCGGGCCUU
Molecule: ribosomal RNA, 352 nt
Filed under: uncultured Anoxybacillus sp.
Lineage: Bacteria; Bacillati; Bacillota; Bacilli; Caryophanales; Anoxybacillaceae
Description: bacterial SSU rRNA
Rfam family: Bacterial small subunit ribosomal RNA
Source: RNAcentral